This is a long non-coding RNA of Vespula vulgaris, 3678 nucleotides long. RefSeq lists it as uncharacterized. The transcript is spliced from 6 exons. The record is from RefSeq and is a predicted model, not a curated record. Lineage: Eukaryota; Metazoa; Arthropoda; Insecta; Hymenoptera; Vespidae.
AAGGCAAAGUUUAUAAUUGCCAUUACGACGAACCUUCUCGUGAUCGAUAUAGUUCUAUUUUACUAACCUACAUUCGAAUGGCGGUGCGAGGCUAGGGUAUAUCCUUUUAAAGGAUCCAUCAGUAAGCCGCUUUAACAAGAGGAUAUAAUGGAUUGAUGGCCGAAAGUUUAUCGAGGGGUCGUUCGACGGCGUACGCGGAUCGUGGUUCGAAGUAGAAUAUUUGCCCUUAUGAGGGAAUAUCCUUCAUAGAAAAGAAUAUUUCAUCUCGGUAUCUUUUUGGAUUCAAUCUUUUUCCAUCCUCCAAGGAAUUCAAGGCAGUCGAGGAGAGAAAAUGAAGAUCAAUAAUAACGUUGACAGCGUUCUUCAGUGGAUAUCGAAUUAAUCUUAAUUUGGAUUGCAAUUAAUAUAAAUAUAAAUAUGUAUAUAUAUAUAUAUAUAUAUAUAUAUAUAUAUAUAUAUAUAUAUAUAUAUAUAUAUCAUAAUAUUGAUUUACAUACCGUUGGUAAGAUUUGGAACGAUAAGGAAAAUCUUAUGAUGAUUAACAAUGAUUCCAAAAGGAAAAAUUUGGGAAUCAAAGCUGAAGAUGAAGAGGAAGUAGAAGGAGUAACAGGAGAUGAAGAAGUUGAUGGGGACGGUGAAUUUAAUUCUAAUCAAGCGGAUGAUGGUCUCUCGCCGAUCAUUGAUUUUGCAAUUCUCGAUUUGAAUUCAAAUGUUCAUAACGCGGUGUAUCGUAAGGACGAAGUUGAAUGGAUCAUCCUGAUCUUGCGGGAAUAAUAAUAAUAAUACGGAAAUAACAGAGAAUAAUAUCGACAAGAGAAACGAAUAAUAGUUUCGAAAGCUUAUUCAUGGAUUCAGGAAUGAGCUCAGAAGAAAUCGAAAUGAAACCAAGUGAUCGAAAGGAUAUGGGUAUGGAGAAUAACCAAUAGAUGGAUUCGUAAGGAGAAAAAGGAAUCAAAAACGUAUAAGAAGGUUGAAAACAAGCAGAAAAUUUCCCUCUACCAUAGUAUCGAUCAUAAAUUAUUGGUAACAUUGUGAAGAGAUAGUCGAGGUUACUACCCUCGCGAAUAUAUGAAAAAGAGGGGAUAGAACAAAACUGCGCACGCUCGACUCUAUGUAACAGAUUACUAGCUAUCUACAGGAGUUGAAACUCUCGUUCACUUCGUAUCGAGUCGUCUCUUGAGCAAGUUCCUAGGACUUACAGAAGAGGAAGCACCUAGAGUUAUAUAUUAGUCACUGAUCCAAAGCGAUAAUGGAAAUCAUCUUCUUAAACAAGAUCCCUUCGUUAGGCACUCUUGCAAGGCACAAUUAUUAAUAGAGGGAGAUGACACUAUUUUCGCUACUUACUUGAAGGUAGACGGAUUCGAUGUGUACGUAAAUACAUAUACGUAUAUAUAUAUAUAUAUAUAUAUAUAUAUAUAUAUAUAUAUAUAUACACACCUCUUCCUCCGUACUGUGUACUUUCUAUGUAUUAAAGUCUAAUUAUGUACAAAUUUAUUUAUGUAUUUGUCUACAAAAUAACCUACUAUCUAUAUCUAUCUGAGGAUCAUCAAUGUUGUAAAUCGAAAUAACAUCAAAAAGAAAAUGAAUAGAUAAAUUAAAACGAAAAAGGAUAUUUAAAUUAAAGAAGAAAGGGGAUAUUGAUUAAAAUGAAAAAAGAAAUUUUUAUUAAAGAAGAAUGUAGAAUCGCCGGUUAUAUUCUUCAUUUUCUUGGCAACAGCGAGAGAGCUUCCACGUUCAUUCGUCGAAGUGCAAAGGAAAACUGACACGAUAAUCGUACAAAUCAAUCAUUUUUUGACUUUCCACGUAGCGAACGAGCGUCAUAUUAAACUUUAAGUCUAGCAGAAAAUAAAACAAAAUCCUGGCAGGUGUUCCGUAGCGCGUAACAUUUUACGGAAUUUACUAUUCCUUAAAUAGUGGUUUAUUUAACUCGUACAUCUAUAUAGUUUAAAUUAUCUAAAGCAUUAAGUUUGAAGUUUCCACCUUUUGAAAAAGAGGGCAAUCGGCAAAGUCACUCAAAAGUUCGUUUCUGUUGACAUUAUGUGUAUCUACGCAACUCAUAUGGAACCACCCCGAGAACAAAAUUAUAAAUUAUUGAAAUUUUAGUUUAAAAUUAUCUUAUGUUCCCCAUGCGCUCCGAUAUUCGUAAUGUUUAAGCGAAUAUAAUAUCGUUUAAAUAUUACGAUCAUGAAAACAAUUCAUCUGUCGAUUAUUUAUUAUUUCUAAGUUGAAAUGCUAUAAUCGUUAGUAAAGUAAUAAUAAUUUUCGAUUUUCUAAAGAGCAAGGAAAAUGAUACAAAUUCUAUUUUCUUUCAGUAAACGUAUAAAAAGCCCCGAAUAUUUUGAUAUUUUUCCGUAUUUACCAUAUGUACUCGGCGCCCUUUCGAAAGUUAAUCAGCAGCAACACGGCAUUUCGUCCCGCAAACGUGGUUCAUAUUAUAACAUAUUACAUAAUUGCAUUUUGAUUUAUACAAAUUUAUAUACAUCGACGAACAAAUUUCUUGCAAAAGAAAUCAAAAUUCUAUUCCACAUAAUUUUCUGCGAUACCCAUGAUAAGUUUUGAAACAAUUCUAGUAUACGAUUUUGUUGUUUCUCUUAAUUUGUCAUAAAUUUGUUCAUAGAUUUAUUGCAAUUAAUUGGUUCGAAAAAAAGUAAGGGCAGAGUAGCAGAUCAAAUUCAAUUCGUAAUUCAUUUGAAAACCUUAUUUGUUAAUAUUUCAUAAAAUCGGACCAUUUCUUUAAUAUUUUUUAAUCUCCAACACUUUCCGAAUACAUAUUUGGUUGCAUUCUCUUUAUUAUUGUUUUUUUUAAUAGUAAUUUUAUGUUCACUUACUUUGAAUUUUGCAUUUAAUUUCCUGGCAAAAAAUACAUUAAAUAAUAAUAAAUAAAAUUUUUUUAAAUUAAAUGAAAAGCAAACAUUUUUCAACAGUCGAGAUUACAUUUAUCUUUGUUGCAAAGAUAUAUGAAAGUAUGGAAUCGGUGUAAGUUGCUUCAUUUUACCGAGAAACAUUUCUUUACUUCUUUCUUAAUGACAUCUUUCGUUGUCUUUCAAUUUAUUUUUCAAGUUGCUCUUUAAUUUCAUUUUCAUUUAUCAACAUGUAGACAAAUGUGUGAAUAAAUAGGUAUGUAAAUGUAUUAGAUUCUAGUAUAUAGUAAGAUAUAUAUAUAUAUAUAUAUAUAUAUAUAUAUAUAUAUUUAUAUAUAUAUAUAUACAGAUAUGAAUGUAUGUAUUUGUGUAUAUAUGUAUAGAGUCCGUCUGCCGUGUGAAAAGAACAAUCAAAGUUGCAUUCAUGAACACAUCAGCCAGACCAAAUGAAGAAAAAUUAUUUAUCCAAAUUUUCACGAUGCAAACUUUUAGAAUUCUGACGAACGCACGAUAAUGAUUCUACGCCUCUCUAUUAAUAAUAGGACUGGCUGUACAAAAGUAAUUGGCAUAAUGAUGAAUUCAGAGAUAAAAAAAGUAUGGUUUAUUAUUGGUAUUAAAAUAUGGUUUAUAUUAUCGAGGGUAUGUUGUUUAAAACGAUAUAGAUGAUAUAGAAUUCAUUAUCGUGGAUGGUUCGUGGCCAAUAUAUUAUUCUGGGCCUUUCUCUUCUGUAACUCUUAGGAACAUGCUUAAAUGACGACACAAUAAACAAAUUGUACUUCCUUUUAAAGGAUACAAUAAAUUCAAGAAUGAAAUCACA